Molecule: long non-coding RNA, 442 nt
Organism: Vidua chalybeata
Lineage: Eukaryota; Metazoa; Chordata; Aves; Passeriformes; Viduidae
Exons: 3
Source: RefSeq, a predicted model, not a curated record
UGAGCGUGUUGUUGCUGAGUAAUUGGUGCCUUGGAGAGGAAGAAUGAACAUCGGAGUGGAGACGACAAGAAAGAAAAUAUGAAACAGCCAUGAUUUAAGGUUAAAAUUUCAAAAAUUCUCCAGUUGUGCAGCUGGGGCAUGACCUUCAAAGAAGCUCAGCUCCAAAUCAAGCAGUGAAUUCUGAGAGAGUCCUCAAAACCCAGCAGCUGCUACUGAGAUCAAGUAACUCUUGUGUGCGCGCAAGCAAAAGGAUUCUCUGGAAAGGAUCCAGCUACUACUGAUUUUGAGCAGGGAUUCUCAAAUCUGAAUCUUCUCAUUUGAGCAUUGUAAUAUGUAUACACAUUGCUAAUUCAAAGGCUAUUCAAACACUGCUGAAAUUAUAUAUUAAGUGACAACCAGGAACACAUGAAAAUAGCAAAUAAAGAAAAAUUGGCCGCUGUCA